RNAcentral lists this ribosomal RNA (908 nucleotides) under Shigella sonnei. RNAcentral describes it as "partial 23S ribosomal RNA". It matches the Rfam family "Bacterial large subunit ribosomal RNA", at positions 2035 to 2925 of the family's 2925-position model. Lineage: Bacteria; Pseudomonadati; Pseudomonadota; Gammaproteobacteria; Enterobacterales; Enterobacteriaceae. The record is from RNAcentral.
AGUGAAAUUGAACUCGCUGUGAAGAUGCAGUGUACCCGCGGCAAGACGGAAAGACCCCGUGAACCUUUACUAUAGCUUGACACUGAACAUUGAGCCUUGAUGUGUAGGAUAGGUGGGAGGCUUUGAAGUGUGGACGCCAGUCUGCAUGGAGCCGGCCUUGAAAUACCACCCUUUAAUGUUUGAUGUUCUAACGUGGACCCGUGAUCCGGGUUGCGGACAGUGUCUGGUGGGUAGUUUGACUGGGGCGGUCUCCUCCUAAAGAGUAACGGAGGAGCACGAAGGUUGGCUAAUCCUGGUCGGACAUCAGGAGGUUAGUGCAAUGGCAUAAGCCAGCUUGACUGCGAGCGUGACGGCGCGAGCAGGUGCGAAAGCAGGUCAUAGUGAUCCGGUGGUUCUGAAUGGAAGGGCCAUCGCUCAACGGAUAAAAGGUACUCCGGGGAUAACAGGCUGAUACCGCCCAAGAGUUCAUAUCGACGGCGGUGUUUGGCACCUCGAUGUCGGCUCAUCACAUCCUGGGGCUGAAGUAGGUCCCAAGGGUAUGGCUGUUCGCCAUUUAAAGUGGUACGCGAGCUGGGUUUAGAACGUCGUGAGACAGUUCGGUCCCUAUCUGCCGUGGGCGCUGGAGAACUGAGGGGGGCUGCUCCUAGUACGAGAGGACCGGAGUGGACGCAUCACUGGUGUUCGGGUUGUCAUGCCAAUGGCACUGCCCGGUAGCUAAAUGCGGAAGAGAUAAGUGCUGAAAGCAUCUAAGCACGAAACUUGCCCCGAGAUGAGUUCUCCCUGACCCUUUAAGGGUCCUGAAGGAACGUUGAAGACGACGACGUUGAUAGGCCGGGUGUGUAAGCGCAGCGAUGCGUUGAGCUAACCGGUACUAAUGAACCGUGAGGCUUAACCUUACAACGCCGAAG